CGACACGGUCGCGGUCGCACGUUGUCCGUUCGGGUUUUUAUCGCGGUGUUGCGUCGUUACGGUCGGCGUGCGCGCGGGUUGUUUUUUUUUUUUUUUUUACUAAUUUUUCCGAAAACUAAUUUUGACGGUCCGACGAGGAAAUUACGCGGCCUCCGACAACAACAACAAUUGUCGUUGGGGAACCCGGCGCGGUUUGUUUCGCGGGACGAUGCGUCGGCGACGGCGGAACGCGUCGUGCCGGUGCGCCACGCUGUUGGCCGUGGCGACGGUCCUGCAGCUGUUGUCGUGCGACAGCCGGGCGUCCAACACGUUCACGGACGAGGAGACGAAUUUGUCCAGCGACUGUGAGUGCCUCUAUUGUUAUUAUUAUUGUUAUUCGUUCUAGAUCGGGGGGGG
Cinara cedri is the source of this 396-nucleotide non-coding RNA. The record is from the annotation of a GenBank genome assembly. NCBI's taxonomy places the organism in Eukaryota, Metazoa, Arthropoda, Insecta, Hemiptera, Aphididae.